This 500-nucleotide ribosomal RNA is filed under the name uncultured bacterium. RNAcentral describes it as "partial 16S ribosomal RNA". It matches the Rfam family "Bacterial small subunit ribosomal RNA", at positions 30 to 523 of the family's 1533-position model. The record is from RNAcentral.
AUUGAACGCUGGCGGAAUGCUUUACACAUGCAAGUCGAACGGCAGCACGGACUUCGGUCUGGUGGCGAGUGGCGAACGGGUGAGUAAUGUAUCGGAACGUGCCCAGUCGUGGGGGAUAACGUAGUGAAAAUUACGCUAAUACCGCAUACGAUCUAUGGAUGAAAGCGGGGGAUCGCAAGGACUCGCGUGAUUGGAGCGGCCGAUAUCAGAUUAGGUAGUUGGUGGGGUAAAGGCCCGACAAGCCAACGAUCUGUAGCUGGUCUGAGAGGACGACCAGCCACACUGGAACUGAGACACGGUCCAGACUCCUACGGGAGGCAGCAGUGGGGAAUUUUGGACAAUGGGCGAAAGCCUGAUCCAGCCAUUCCGCGUGCAGGAUGAAGGCCCUCGGGUUGUAAACUGCUUUUGUACAGAACGAAAAGGUUUCUACUAAUACUAGGAGCUCAUGACGGUACUGUAAGAAUAAGCACCGGCUAACUACGUGCCAGCAGCCGCCGUAA